Molecule: ribosomal RNA, 2904 nt
Filed under: Escherichia coli
Lineage: Bacteria; Pseudomonadati; Pseudomonadota; Gammaproteobacteria; Enterobacterales; Enterobacteriaceae
Description: bacterial LSU rRNA
Source: RNAcentral
UUAAGCGACUAAGCGUACACGGUGGAUGCCCUGGCAGUCAGAGGCGAUGAAGGACGUGCUAAUCUGCGAUAAGCGUCGGUAAGGUGAUAUGAACCGUUAUAACCGGCGAUUUCCGAAUGGGGAAACCCAGUGUGWUUCGWCACACUAUCAUUAACUGAAUCCAUAGGUUAAUGAGGCGAACCGGGGGAACUGAAACAUCUAAGUACCCCGAGGAAAAGAAAUCAACCGAGAUUCCCCCAGUAGCGGCGAGCGAACGGGGAGSAGCCCAGAGCCUGAAUCAGUGUGUGUGUUAGUGGAAGCGUCUGGAAAGGCGCGCGAUACAGGGUGACAGCCCCGUACACAAAAAUGCACAURYUGUGAGCUCGAUGAGUAGGGCGGGACACGUGGUAUCCUGUCUGAAUAUGGGGGGACCAUCCUCCAAGGCUAAAUACUCCUGACUGACCGAUAGUGAACCAGUACCGUGAGGGAAAGGCGAAAAGAACCCCGGCGAGGGGAGUGAAAAAGAACCUGAAACCGUGUACGUACAAGCAGUGGGAGCACGCUUAGGCGUGUGACUGCGUACCUUUUGUAUAAUGGGUCAGCGACUUAUAUUCUGUAGCAAGGUUAACCGAAUAGGGGAGCCGAAGGGAAACCGAGUCUUAACUGGGCGUUAAGUUGCAGGGUAUAGACCCGAAACCCGGUGAUCUAGCCAUGGGCAGGUUGAAGGUUGGGUAACACUAACUGGAGGACCGAACCGACUAAUGUUGAAAAAUUAGCGGAUGACUUGUGGCUGGGGGUGAAAGGCCAAUCAAACCGGGAGAUAGCUGGUUCUCCCCGAAAGCUAUUUAGGUAGCGCCUCGUGAAUUCAUCUCCGGGGGUAGAGCACUGUUUCGGCAAGGGGGUCAUCCCGACUUACCAACCCGAUGCAAACUGCGAAUACCGGAGAAUGUUAUCACGGGAGACACACGGCGGGUGCUAACGUCCGUCGUGAAGAGGGAAACAACCCAGACCGCCAGCUAAGGUCCCAAAGUCAUGGUUAAGUGGGAAACGAUGUGGGAAGGCCCAGACAGCCAGGAUGUUGGCUUAGAAGCAGCCAUCAUUUAAAGAAAGCGUAAUAGCUCACUGGUCGAGUCGGCCUGCGCGGAAGAUGUAACGGGGCUAAACCAUGCACCGAAGCUGCGGCAGCGACGCUUAUGCGUUGUUGGGUAGGGGAGCGUUCUGUAAGCCUGYGAAGGUGUGCUGUGAGGCAUGCUGGAGGUAUCAGAAGUGCGAAUGCUGACAUAAGUAACGAUAAAGCGGGUGAAAAGCCCGCUCGCCGGAAGACCAAGGGUUCCUGUCCAACGUUAAUCGGGGCAGGGUGAGUCGACCCCUAAGGCGAGGCCGAAAGGCGUAGUCGAUGGGAAACAGGUUAAUAUUCCUGUACUUGGUGUUACUGCGAAGGGGGGACGGAGAAGGCUAUGUUGGCCGGGCGACGGUUGUCCCGGUUUAAGCGUGUAGGCUGGUUUUCCAGGCAAAUCCGGAAAAUCAAGGCUGAGGCGUGAUGACGAGGCACUACGGUGCUGAAGCAACAAAUGCCCUGCUUCCAGGAAAAGCCUCUAAGCAUCAGGUAACAUCAAAUCGUACCCCAAACCGACACAGGUGGUCAGGUAGAGAAUACCAAGGCGCUUGAGAGAACUCGGGUGAAGGAACUAGGCAAAAUGGUGCCGUAACUUCGGGAGAAGGCACGCUGAUAUGUAGGUGAAGUCCCUCGCGGAUGGAGCUGAAAUCAGUCGAAGAUACCAGCUGGCUGCAACUGUUUAUUAAAAACACAGCACUGUGCAAACACGAAAGUGGACGUAUACGGUGUGACGCCUGCCCGGUGCCGGAAGGUUAAUUGAUGGGGUUAGCCGCAAGGCGAAGCUCUUGAUCGAAGCCCCGGUAAACGGCGGCCGUAACUAUAACGGUCCUAAGGUAGCGAAAUUCCUUGUCGGGUAAGUUCCGACCUGCACGAAUGGCGUAAUGAUGGCCAGGCUGUCUCCACCCGAGACUCAGUGAAAUUGAACUCGCUGUGAAGAUGCAGUGUACCCGCGGCAAGACGGAAAGACCCCGUGAACCUUUACUAUAGCUUGACACUGAACAUUGAGCCUUGAUGUGUAGGAUAGGUGGGAGGCUUWGAAGUGUGGACGCCAGUCUGCAUGGAGCCGACCUUGAAAUACCACCCUUUAAUGUUUGAUGUUCUAACGUUGACCCGUAAUCCGGGUUGCGGACAGUGUCUGGUGGGUAGUUUGACUGGGGCGGUCUCCUCCUAAAGAGUAACGGAGGAGCACGAAGGUUGGCUAAUCCUGGUCGGACAUCAGGAGGUUAGUGCAAUGGCAUAAGCCAGCUUGACUGCGAGCGUGACGGCGCGAGCAGGUGCGAAAGCAGGUCAUAGUGAUCCGGUGGUUCUGAAUGGAAGGGCCAUCGCUCAACGGAUAAAAGGUACUCCGGGGAUAACAGGCUGAUACCGCCCAAGAGUUCAUAUCGACGGCGGUGUUUGGCACCUCGAUGUCGGCUCAUCACAUCCUGGGGCUGAAGUAGGUCCCAAGGGUAUGGCUGUUCGCCAUUUAAAGUGGUACGCGAGCUGGGUUUAGAACGUCGUGAGACAGUUCGGUCCCUAUCUGCCGUGGGCGCUGGAGAACUGAGGGGGGCUGCUCCUAGUACGAGAGGACCGGAGUGGACGCAUCACUGGUGUUCGGGUUGUCAUGCCAAUGGCACUGCCCGGUAGCUAAAUGCGGAAGAGAUAAGUGCUGAAAGCAUCUAAGCACGAAACUUGCCCCGAGAUGAGUUCUCCCUGACUCCUUGAGAGUCCUGAAGGAACGUUGAAGACGACGACGUUGAUAGGCCGGGUGUGUAAGCGCAGCGAUGCGUUGAGCUAACCGGUACUAAUGAACCGUGAGGCUUAACCUU